GAUGAACGCUGGCGGCGUGCCUAAUACAUGCAAGUCGAGCGAACAGACGAGGAGCUUGCUCCUCUGACGUUAGCGGCGGACGGGUGAGUAACACGUGGAUAACCUACCUAUAAGACUGGGAUAACUUCGGGAAACCGGAGCUAAUACCGGAUAAUAUAUUGAACCGCAUGGUUCAAUAGUGAAAGACGGUUUUGCUGUCACUUAUAGAUGGAUCCGCGCCGCAUUAGCUGGUUGGUAAGGUAACGGCUUACCAAGGCAACGAUGCGUAGCCGACCUGAGAGGGUGAUCGGCCACACGGGAACGGAGACACGGUCCAGACGCCUACGGGAGGCAGCAGUAGGGAAUCUUCCGCAAUGGGCGAAAGCCUGACGGAGCAACGCCGCGUGAGUGAUGAAGGUCUUCGGAUCGUAAAACUCUGUUAUUAGGGAAGAACAAAUGUGUAAGUAACUAUGCACGUCUUGACGGUACCUAAUCAGAAAGCCACGGCUAACUACGUG
Molecule: ribosomal RNA, 497 nt
Filed under: uncultured bacterium
Lineage: Bacteria
Description: partial 16S ribosomal RNA
Rfam family: Bacterial small subunit ribosomal RNA
Source: RNAcentral